Molecule: transfer RNA, 71 nt
Filed under: Rattus norvegicus (Norway rat)
Lineage: Eukaryota; Metazoa; Chordata; Mammalia; Rodentia; Muridae
Rfam family: tRNA
About the family: Transfer RNA (tRNA) molecules are approximately 80 nucleotides in length. Their secondary structure includes four short double-helical elements and three loops (D, anti-codon, and T loops).
Source: Rfam by way of RNAcentral
GGGGAUUUAGCUCAGUGGUAGAGAGCGCUUGCCUAGGAAGCGUAAGGCCCUGGGUUCGGUCCCCAGCUCCG